RNAcentral lists this ribosomal RNA (2121 nucleotides) under Salmonella enterica subsp. enterica serovar Enteritidis. Its description in RNAcentral is "partial 23S ribosomal RNA". It matches the Rfam family "Bacterial large subunit ribosomal RNA", at positions 701 to 2803 of the family's 2925-position model. Lineage: Bacteria; Pseudomonadati; Pseudomonadota; Gammaproteobacteria; Enterobacterales; Enterobacteriaceae. The record is from RNAcentral.
UGCAGGGUAUAGACCCGAAACCCGGUGAUCUAGCCAUGGGCAGGUUGAAGGUUGGGUAACACUAACUGGAGGACCGAACCGACUAAUGUUGAAAAAUUAGCGGAUGACCUGUGGCUGGGGGUGAAAGGCCAAUCAAACCGGGAGAUAGCUGGUUCUCCCCGAAAGCUAUUUAGGUAGCGCCUCGUGAAUUCAUCUCCGGGGGUAGAGCACUGUUUCGGCUAGGGGGCCAUCCCGGCUUACCAACCCGAUGCAAACUGCGAAUACCGGAGAAUGUUAUCACGGGAGACACACGGCGGGUGCUAACGUCCGUCGUGAAGAGGGAAACAACCCAGACCGCCAGCUAAGGUCCCAAAGUCAUGGUUAAGUGGGAAACGAUGUGGGAAGGCCCAGACAGCCAGGAUGUUGGCUUAGAAGCAGCCAUCAUUUAAAGAAAGCGUAAUAGCUCACUGGUCGAGUCGGCCUGCGCGGAAGAUGUAACGGGGCUAAACCAUGCACCGAAGCUGCGGCAGCGACACUGUGUGUUGUUGGGUAGGGGAGCGUUCUGUAAGCCUGCGAAGGUGGCCUGUGAGGGUUGCUGGAGGUAUCAGAAGUGCGAAUGCUGACAUAAGUAACGAUAAAGCGGGUGAAAAGCCCGCUCGCCGGAAGACCAAGGGUUCCUGUCCAACGUUAAUCGGGGCAGGGUGAGUCGACCCCUAAGGCGAGGCCGAAAGGCGUAGUCGAUGGGAAACGGGUUAAUAUUCCCGUACUUGGUGUUACUGCGAAGGGGGGACGGAGAAGGCUAUGUUGGCCGGGCGACGGUUGUCCCGGUUUAAGCGUGUAGGUGUGUGUUCCAGGUAAAUCCGGUUCACUUUAACACUGAGGCGUGACGACGAGGCACUACGGUGCUGAAGCAACAAAUGCCCUGCUUCCAGGAAAAGCCUCUAAGCAUCAGGUAACAUCAAAUCGUACCCCAAACCGACACAGGUGGUCAGGUAGAGAAUACCAAGGCGCUUGAGAGAACUCGGGUGAAGGAACUAGGCAAAAUGGUGCCGUAACUUCGGGAGAAGGCACGCUGACACGUAGGUGAAGUGAUUUACUCAUGGAGCUGAAGUCAGUCGAAGAUACCAGCUGGCUGCAACUGUUUAUUAAAAACACAGCACUGUGCAAACACGAAAGUGGACGUAUACGGUGUGACGCCUGCCCGGUGCCGGAAGGUUAAUUGAUGGGGUCAGCGCAAGCGAAGCUCCUGAUCGAAGCCCCGGUAAACGGCGGCCGUAACUAUAACGGUCCUAAGGUAGCGAAAUUCCUUGUCGGGUAAGUUCCGACCUGCACGAAUGGCGUAAUGAUGGCCAGGCUGUCUCCACCCGAGACUCAGUGAAAUUGAACUCGCUGUGAAGAUGCAGUGUACCCGCGGCAAGACGGAAAGACCCCGUGAACCUUUACUAUAGCUUGACACUGAACAUUGAGCCUUGAUGUGUAGGAUAGGUGGGAGGCUUUGAAGUGUGGACGCCAGUCUGCAUGGAGCCGACCUUGAAAUACCACCCUUUAAUGUUUGAUGUUCUAACGUGGACCCGUUACCCGGGUUGCGGACAGUGUCUGGUGGGUAGUUUGACUGGGGCGGUCUCCUCCUAAAGAGUAACGGAGGAGCACGAAGGUUGGCUAAUCCUGGUCGGACAUCAGGAGGUUAGUGCAAUGGCAUAAGCCAGCUUGACUGCGAGCGUGACGGCGCGAGCAGGUGCGAAAGCAGGUCAUAGUGAUCCGGUGGUUCUGAAUGGAAGGGCCAUCGCUCAACGGAUAAAAGGUACUCCGGGGAUAACAGGCUGAUACCGCCCAAGAGUUCAUAUCGACGGCGGUGUUUGGCACCUCGAUGUCGGCUCAUCACAUCCUGGGGCUGAAGUAGGUCCCAAGGGUAUGGCUGUUCGCCAUUUAAAGUGGUACGCGAGCUGGGUUUAGAACGUCGUGAGACAGUUCGGUCCCUAUCUGCCGUGGGCGCUGGAGAACUGAGGGGGGCUGCUCCUAGUACGAGAGGACCGGAGUGGACGCAUCACUGGUGUUCGGGUUGUCAUGCCAAUGGCACUGCCCGGUAGCUAAAUGCGGAAGAGAUAAGUGCUGAAAGCAUCUAAGCACGAAACUUGCCCCGAG